Molecule: transfer RNA, 68 nt
Filed under: Gonatocerus sp. ZCS-2018
Lineage: Eukaryota; Metazoa; Arthropoda; Insecta; Hymenoptera; Mymaridae
Description: tRNA-Gly
Source: RNAcentral
AUUUAUAUAGUAUAAUAAUUACAAUUAAUUUCCAAUUAAUAAAUUUAUUUUUAUAAAUAAUAUAAAUA